This 414-nucleotide ribosomal RNA is filed under the name uncultured Candidatus Saccharibacteria bacterium. RNAcentral describes it as "bacterial SSU rRNA". It matches the Rfam family "Bacterial small subunit ribosomal RNA", at positions 958 to 1385 of the family's 1533-position model. Lineage: Bacteria; Candidatus Saccharimonadota. The record is from RNAcentral.
AACGCGAAGAACCUUACCCAGGCUUGACAUCCUUGGAAUUUCUCCGAAAGGAGAAAGUGCUUUAUUGAGCCAAGUGACAGGUGAUGCAUGGCCGUCGUCAGCUCGUGUCGUGAGAUGUUUGGUUAAGUCCAUCAACGAGCGCAACCCUUGUGAUUAGUUGAAUUUUUCUAAUCAGACUGCCCUGGUAACAGGGAGGAAGGAGGGGAUGAUGUCAGGUCAGUAUUUCCCUUACGUCUGGGGCUACAAACACGCUACAAUGGCCGGUACAAAGGGCAGCCAAGUCGCAAGACGGAGCAAAUCCCAUCAAAGCCGGUCUCAGUUCGGAUAGCAGGCUGAAACUCGCCUGCUUGAAGUCGGAAUCGCUAGUAACGGCAGGUCAGCUAUACUGCCGUGAAUACGUUCCCGGGCCUUGUA